RNAcentral lists this ribosomal RNA (465 nucleotides) under uncultured Klebsiella sp. Its description in RNAcentral is "bacterial SSU rRNA". It matches the Rfam family "Bacterial small subunit ribosomal RNA", at positions 338 to 795 of the family's 1533-position model. The record is from RNAcentral. Lineage: Bacteria; Pseudomonadati; Pseudomonadota; Gammaproteobacteria; Enterobacterales; Enterobacteriaceae.
CCUACGGGAGGCUGCAGUGGGGAAUAUUGCACAAUGGGCGCAAGCCUGAUGCAGCCAUGCCGCGUGUGUGAAGAAGGCCUUCGGGUUGUAAAGCACUUUCAGCGGGGAGGAAGGCGGUGAGGUUAAUAACCUCAUCGAUUGACGUUACCCGCAGAAGAAGCACCGGCUAACUCCGUGCCAGCAGCCGCGGUAAUACGGAGGGUGCAAGCGUUAAUCGGAAUAACUGGGCGUAAAGCGCACGCAGGCGGUCUGUCAAGUCGGAUGUGAAAUCCCCGGGCUCAACCUGGGAACUGCAUUCGAAACUGGCAGGCUAGAGUCUUGUAGAGGGGGGUAGAAUUCCAGGUGUAGCGGUGAAAUGCGUAGAGAUCUGGAGGAAUACCGGUGGCGAAGGCGGCCCCCUGGACAAAGACUGACGCUCAGGUGCGAAAGCGUGGGGAGCAAACAGGAUUAGAUACCCGUGUAGUC